GUGGGGAAUAUUGGGCAAUGGGCGCAAGCCUGACCCAGCAACGCCGCGUGAAGGAAGAAGGCUUUCGGGUUGUAAACUUCUUUUACCAGGGACGAAACAAAUGACGGGACCUGGUGAAUAAGCCACGGCUAACUACGUGCCAGCAGCCGCGGUAAUACGUAGGUGGCGAGCGUUAUCCGGAUUUAUUGGGUGUAAAGGGCGUGUAGGCGGGACAGCAAGUCAGAUGUGAAAACCAGAGGCUCAACCUCUGGCCUGCAUUUGAAACUGUUGUUCUUGAGUGUCGGAGAGGUAAUCGGAAUUCCGUGUGUAGCGGUGAAAUGCGUAGAUAUACGGAGGAACACCAGUGGCGAAGGCGGCUUUCUGGACGGUGUCUGACACUGAGGCGCGAAAGCCAGGGGAGCGAACGGGAUUAGAUACCCUAGUAGUCC
RNAcentral lists this ribosomal RNA (428 nucleotides) under uncultured bacterium. RNAcentral's name for it is "partial 16S ribosomal RNA". It matches the Rfam family "Bacterial small subunit ribosomal RNA", at positions 354 to 796 of the family's 1533-position model. The record is from RNAcentral.